This 30-nucleotide small RNA is filed under the name Bombyx mori (domestic silkworm). Its description in RNAcentral is "ovarian small RNA-6809". Lineage: Eukaryota; Metazoa; Arthropoda; Insecta; Lepidoptera; Bombycidae. The record is from RNAcentral.
UCACAAAGAGUUGACGGCGAAAGCCCAGUA